Molecule: ribosomal RNA, 464 nt
Filed under: uncultured bacterium
Lineage: Bacteria
Description: partial 16S ribosomal RNA
Rfam family: Bacterial small subunit ribosomal RNA
Source: RNAcentral
CCUACGGGUGGCAGCAGUGGGGAAUUUUGCACAAUGGGCGCAAGCCUGAUCCAGCUAUUCCGCGUGUGUGAAGACGGCCUUCGGGUUGUAAACCACUUUUAUCGAGAACGAAAAUUCUAUUGAUAAUACCGAUAGCCGAUGACGUUACUCUAAGACUAAGCACCGGCUAACUACGUGCCAGCAGCCGCGGUAAUACGUAGGGUGCGAGCGUUAAUCGGAAUUACUGGGCGUAAAGGGUGUGCAGGCGGUUUUGCAAGUUGGAUGUGAAAGCCCCGGGCUUAACCUGGGAACGCCAUACAUGACUGAAAGACUAGAGUGCGUCAGAGGGGGUGGAAUUCCAAGUGUAGCAGUGAAAUGAGUAGAGAUUUGGAAGAACACCGAUGGCGAAGGCAGCCCCCUGGGACGAAACUGACGCUCAUACGCGAAAGCGUGGGGAGCAAACAGGAUUAGAUACCCGUGUAGUC